GUGGGGUUUCCCCAUGUGAGAGUAGGGCAUCGC
This 33-nucleotide ribosomal RNA is filed under the name Actinobacillus minor 202. Lineage: Bacteria; Pseudomonadati; Pseudomonadota; Gammaproteobacteria; Pasteurellales; Pasteurellaceae. The record is from RNAcentral.